UCCUUCUGUAACACCAGAACCAUUUGGCCU
RNAcentral lists this non-coding RNA (30 nucleotides) under Macaca fascicularis (crab-eating macaque). RNAcentral also lists the same sequence under 1 other name. Lineage: Eukaryota; Metazoa; Chordata; Mammalia; Primates; Cercopithecidae. The record is from RNAcentral.